This 83-nucleotide microRNA precursor is filed under the name Bombyx mori (domestic silkworm). RNAcentral describes it as "mir-2807 microRNA precursor family". It matches the Rfam family "mir-2807 microRNA precursor family". Lineage: Eukaryota; Metazoa; Arthropoda; Insecta; Lepidoptera; Bombycidae. The record is from Rfam by way of RNAcentral.
UUAGUUCAGAUUUGUAUGGAGUUCGAGUGUUUGCCUACGUUUGCCGCUAGGGGCGCUGUUCCAACUGCAUACAAAUAACCGUA